AACUUUCAACAACGGAUCUCUUGGUUCCCACAUCGAUGAAGAACGCAGCGAAACGCGAUAGUUAAUGUGAAUUGCAGAAUUCAGUGAAUCAUCGAGUCUUUGAACGCACAUUGCGCCCAUUGGUAUUCCUUUGGGCAUGUCUGUUUGAGCGUCAUU
Molecule: ribosomal RNA, 156 nt
Filed under: Arthrobotrys iridis
Lineage: Eukaryota; Fungi; Ascomycota; Orbiliomycetes; Orbiliales; Orbiliaceae
Description: 5.8S ribosomal RNA
Rfam family: 5.8S ribosomal RNA
About the family: 5.8S ribosomal RNA (5.8S rRNA) is a component of the large subunit of the eukaryotic ribosome. It is transcribed by RNA polymerase I as part of the 45S precursor that also contains 18S and 28S rRNA. Functionally, it is thought that 5.8S rRNA may be involved in ribosome translocation.
Source: RNAcentral